RNAcentral lists this ribosomal RNA (500 nucleotides) under uncultured bacterium. RNAcentral describes it as "partial 16S ribosomal RNA". It matches the Rfam family "Bacterial small subunit ribosomal RNA", at positions 29 to 523 of the family's 1533-position model. The record is from RNAcentral.
AUUGAACGCUGGCGGCAUGCCUUACACAUGCAAGUCGAACGGCAGCGCGGGAGCAAUCCUGGCGGCGAGUGGCGAACGGGUGAGUAAUAUAUCGGAACGUGCCCAUUAGUGGGGGAUAGCCCGGCGAAAGCCGGAUUAAUACCGCAUACGACCUGAGGGUGAAAGCGGGGGAUCGCAAGACCUCGCGCUAUUGGAGCGGCCGUUAUCAGAUUAGCUAGUUGGUGGGGUAAAGGCCUACCAAGGCAACGAUCUGUAGUUGGUCUGAGAGGACGACCAGCCACACUGGGAGUGAGACACGGACCAGACUCCUACGGGAGGCAGCAGUGGGGAAUUUUGGACGAUGGGCGCAAGCCUGAUCCAGCAAUGCCGCGUGCAGGAAGAAGGCCUUCGGGUUGUAAACUGCUUUUGUCAGGGAAGAAAUCCUUUGGGCUAAUACCUCGGAGGGAUGACGGUACCUGAAGAAUAAGCACCGGCUAACUACGUGCCAGCCGCCGCCGUAA